GACGAACGCUGGCGGCGUGCUUAACACAUGCAAGUCGAACGGAAAGGCCUGCUUUCCCUUGUGGAUUGCGGGUACUCGAGUGGCGAACGGGUGAGUAACACGUGAGUGAUCUGCCCCCAACUUGGGUAUAAGCCUGGGAAACUGGGUCUAAUUCCCGAUAGGACUGCAGGGUGGUGCCUGUGGUGGCAAACGAUCUUCUAGUGGUUGGGGAUGAGCUCGCGGCCUAUCAGCUUGUUGGUGGGGUACUGGCCUACCAAGGCGGCGACGGGUAGCCGGCGUGAGAGGGUGGACGGCCACAUUGAGACUGAGUGACGGCCCAGACUCCAACGGGAGGCAGCAGUGGGGAAUAUUAGACAAUGGGCGGAAGCCUGAUGCCGCGACGCCGCGGGGGGGAUGCCGGCCUUCGGGUUGUAAACUCCUUUCGACCGCGAGGAAGCCACCUGGUUGGAAGGGUGGUGACGGUAGUGUUAGAAGAAGCACCGGCUAACUACGUG
Molecule: ribosomal RNA, 494 nt
Filed under: uncultured bacterium
Lineage: Bacteria
Description: partial 16S ribosomal RNA
Rfam family: Bacterial small subunit ribosomal RNA
Source: RNAcentral